Long non-coding RNA from Orcinus orca (killer whale), 35183 nucleotides. RefSeq lists it as uncharacterized. NCBI's taxonomy places the organism in Eukaryota, Metazoa, Chordata, Mammalia, Artiodactyla, Delphinidae. The transcript is spliced from 2 exons. The record is from RefSeq and is a predicted model, not a curated record.
CUUUGUUGUGCGAGGGGGAGAACAGACACUGAUUUAAUAGACAUAUCUGUUGGGGGGAAGGGUAGAGGGGGUGUGGAGAAGCUCAGUUUGGAAGAAUUACAGCACUUGGUAGCUCAGUGUCUUUGUGUUUGAGCUUUCUGGCUUGACAGGAGGGUAUGCCCUUUACAAUGUCCCACAAGGGAUAUUUUCUAUAAUAGAUUAAAAAACAGAACUGAAACUUUAAACAAGUGAAAAAUAAGGUAACCUUUAGUUAGAGAAUAUAAACCUUUCCAUUUCUGCGGUGUUUCAUUAUGAAAAUGUAUGUGAAUUUUGUUAAGGGUUUAGACCGUACUAUCAAAAUUAAUAUAGGCAACAAUGCUUUACAGUAUCUGAUAUCACUUGGUUGUCCACAGGUUAAAAGUAUAUUUUAAAACAUAUACUUGUGUAAAUAAUAAAAGUAUGAAUGCGUUUUUUGGUGUAAUUUGUCUUGUGGAUAUAUUUGAAAAUUUCCCUCCUGCCAAUCCCAGCCCAGCUCUGCCGUCCAGGAAUCAGCCUUUUGGUUAUUAGUUAUCAUGCCGUCCAGGAAUCAGCCUUUUGGUUAUUAGUUAUCAUUUACUCUGCUCUGUCUCUGCUUGUUUUAUUCUUUGAAACCUAUCUUAGGUUUGCUAAAAUGUUACAUCAGCUUUAGCACUUAUUGAAUUAUGUGUUAUUUGUAACUAUCAUAUGAGACCUUAUAAGGCAUGUAGAGGUUUUGAGAAUCAUGAAAUUAAUGAGUUUUCAGAAUUGUAAGUUAAUACAAAAUUCUGAAAUUAUUUCGAAGAAUUUUUAGUUCUUGUAUUUGUUUCACUUUUUUAAUGAUUGGUCUUUUUUUUCAGGAGGGCUUUUUAGUUUUUAAAAGAUUUUGAAAUUGAAAACUAUAACCCUAUAGAUUUCUUAAAUUACUGUUGCUUUAGUUUAGAUGGUUGUUUAUCUUAUUCUGAUUCUUUUUGCUUUGAAUCCUUGCCUUUUGCCUCAGGCCCCCUUUUUAUCAGUCAUUGCUUAGUGUUAGUGGCGAGUUACUGCUGCUUGACAAGACAUUUUUGUUUUUUGAUUUUGGGUUUUUUUUUUUUAACUAAUAAAAUCCUUCUGUAAGUAUCUGAAUUGAAUAUCAAAUUUUAGAUUCUUUUUUUGAGGGAGAAUUUUAAUCUAGUAAUCAGUUUUCUUUAAAAGCAUUCUGUUAACUCCAAAUACCCACUUUCGAGGUAGUAAAGUUCAGAUUAUUUAGAGUCCAGAGUGCAGAUCAGUAUUUUAGUCUGAGCAGUAAUAUAUAGUUGAUAGUCUCCCAACUAAAAUCAGUUGCGUCUCAUAUUUUCUCUUCUAUUGUAUGUAAUUUUGUUCUUUAGGAAAAGAGUUCUAAGUAAGUCAAAUAUAGUGUUAACUUUCUAUAUAUAGAGCGGUGGCAAUGGUUCUUAUUUAAGUAUAAUCCAAAAGGCAACUCUGUUUGUCACUAGCAAAUGUAAUAAUUCCUCUUUUAUUUUAAUGGAUUGGUUCUGAACAGUUAACCUUCUAUUUGAUUCUCUUUACUGAUUAUCUUAAUACUUUAGGGUCAUUUGGUUCCGAAGUAAUACUUAAUUUAUAGCAGUCUUUGGAUUGAAAGUGAAUUCUCACUCAUUUCCAAAAUCUAAUACUCCAUUCUACUUUAUUUUUUGGAGGGGGUUGAGGGUCAGGACUGUAGAGGUGGAAGUGAAGGUGUUUGUGUUUCCAUUAUUAGGUUUUAGUCGAAUUGGAGUUAGCAGGUUCAGGCAGUGAUUAUGAUCAAGAUGGAUAUUUGGUAACCAGGUGAUUAUUGAGUCCUCUGGGACUAGAAUGAUAUUCCAUUCUGGGAAGAUGGAGGUUCUCUCUGUUGCCUAAUAUGAUGUAACCUAUUGCUUGGCUGCUCCUCAUCUUUGCUAUAUUCUCGAAAAGCCCUUCACAACAUAGGGGAAGUUGUGAUUAUUUCAGCUUAGCUCUAACUUGGUGGAAAAAGGAUAGCAGGAUGAGUCUCUGACUUAACAGAGAGUUAUUUCAAAUUGCCCUAAUUCCCUCAAAUAUGCUUAUAGCUGGAGCAGUUCUAGGAAGCAUCUGAAUAAUGCCAUUUUUUUUAGCCUUAUGGGGUUACACAGGAUGGCCUGGAAUUCCUUCCAGAGUGAGAAUUAGGUAUUCAAUGUCUGUGGGGACUUGCCACUUCUGAGUACUUGCCUAAUCACUUAGCUACUUGUACUAGUGCUGUUUUUAGGAUCGAAAGGCAGUUAGGUAAGUACAUAAUUACUUUAUUUAAAUAUUUAUUAAGCAUCUGUCUUGUAUUAGUCACUGUGGGCAAACAAAGAUAUUGGGGAAGCUGCCUUAACAUUCAAGAACUUUCAUUAGUCCUUAGAAAAAAUAUAGUGUAUUCAGUAGAAGGCAAAAUGUGCCAUACGAUAGUGAAAGCAAGUGCUGGGGGGUGUUUGGAAGUGAAAUAAAUCACUUGAGAUGAUAAAGAAAGGCUGCAUGAAGAAGGUGGUGGAUUUUUGCUUCAUUCUGAUGAAAAUGGAGAAGGCAUUCCUGUCACGUGAAACAAAUAAGCAAAAGUACAAAAGGACAAGAGUGAGUUGUCUGUUUAAACUGCAGUCCAAGAUUGGUGUAGGAAAUGUAUAGGUGAUAAGUUUGCAGAGAUAGAUUGUUGGAUUUUCUAAUGCAGGUUAAAAAGUGGAGUCUCUUUGUUAGGCACUUGGGGUUUGCAACACACCUGUCUCCUUAGCUCAGGAGAAGAAUGUUUCCUUUAUUUAAGGAUUCCAUUGUAAAAUUCUACAAUAAUGAUGUUGGUUGUUUUUUUAAAUCACCUUGGCAGAGACAAUAUUGUUAUCCACAGCAGUGUCUCUUCUAAGUAAGCUCAUUUGGAGGUUGUACCUUAUUCCAUUGCACAAAACUCAUUUUCGAAGUUGCCUAAAAUCAGUGGCAUAUUCAUUCAUUGAGUGCCCUUAGUUUUGAGAAAUUUUCAUCCUUUAGAGGUUGGAUUUGGUAUUUGGAAACAGAAAAGAAUAUUUUCUGCCACAAUAAAGGUAUAUAUAAAAUAAUGAGAUUGGUUUUUUUUCCUGCCUUGCAAACUGGCUCUGAAAGCUCAGCAGAGGGGCUUGAUUUGUUUUGAUGUGCCUCUGAACUUCUCUCUUGAUUCGUAUUUCCUUUACGUCCACCUGUCUGCUGAAUGGAAUCUGGAUAUUGGGUAGAUGUGAGUAAACAAAGCUGUUAUUUUUUGUAGUUUCAAGUUAAAGACUUGCCAUUACUACCCUCCAAAUUAUCUUUACUCUAUUUGCAAAUAUUUUAAAAAAUCUUUUUACUGUUAGUUAUACUUGCACAUUGUUUUUGGGAUAAUCCCAGUGUGAAAUAUUUGCUAAUUUUAUUGACUGUCUCUUGUAUGUAGAAAGUAUCCCAAGUCCAGUGGUCCAUACCCUGAAUUUUUUCUUUUUUUAAUUGAGAUAUCAUGUAUAUACCAUAAAAUUCACCCUUUUAAUUCAUACAAUUCAGUUGUUUUUAGUUUAUUCACAAGGUUGUGCAAAUAUCACUAAUUCUCGAACACUUUCAUAUCCAAAAAAGAAACCCUAUACUCAUUAGAAGUCAUUUUGCAUUUCUCCCAUGACCCAGUCCUUGGUAACCCCUAAUCUACCUCUGUUUCUGUGGAUUUGCCUGUUCUGGACAGUUCAUAUAAAUGUAAUAUUAUAAUAUGUGGCCUUUUGUGUCUGGCUUCUUAGCAUGUUUUCAGAAUUCAUCCAUGUACUGGCAUAUAUCAGCACUUUAUUGCUUUUUUUGGCUAACUAAUAUUGCAUUGUAUGGACAUACUAUAUUUUGUACAUCCAUUCAUCAGGUGUCAGACGUUUGAGUUGUUUCCACUUUUUGCCUAUUAUGGAGAAGCUGCUGUGAACUUAAGCAGCAUUAUUCCUGUGGACGUUUAUCUUUUCUUCUUUUGGGUACGUACUUCAGAGUGAACUUGCUGGGUCAUAUAGUAACUUUUAAUGUUGAGGAACUGCCAAACUGUUUUCUAAAGCGGCUGUAGUAUUUUACAUUCCCACCAGCGGUGUAGGAGGAUUUCAGUUUCUCCACACCCUUGCCAACACUUGUUACUGUCUGUCUUUUUGGUUAUAACCAUUCUAGUGGGUAGGUAUGAACUGGUAUCUCAUUGUUGUUUUGAUUUGCAUUUCCCUAAUGACCAUUGAUGUUGAGCAUCUUUUCAUUUGCUUGUUGGCCACUUGUAUAUUUUCUUUGGAGAAACGUCUCUUCAGAUCCCUAGCCUAUUUUUUAAGUUGAGUUGUCUUUUUAUUGUUGAGUUGUAGUGUAUAUUCUGGAUACUAGACCCACAUCAGUAUAUGAUUUGCAAAAGUUUUUUUCUUAUCGUACCCUCAAUUUGAGAGUAGUUAGAUCAGAAGAUAAUCUGCAGCAUUAUUCCUGUGAAGGGAAUAAUGGAUGUUGUAAUGGAGUGAUCAGAAUGAACCAGAAUUACUCAGGAAAGGCUUCCUUAAACAUCCUUUUCCAUGAAUUAUUAAAAUUGUUAUUUGAUGGAGUUUUGUAAUAACACAGAUAUACUUUACUAUCCAAAUCUUCUAAGUUUUUGCCUUUUUUUUUUUUUUAGUGAGGGUUCAUAUUUCAAGUUCAAAUAAUAUGGUAAACCAUGUUAUUUGAAUCUUUUCUACACCUGAGUUUUGGAUAGUAUAUAACCAAGGUUUGGGUGGAGAAGGAUAUCUUUUCUCUGUAUAGACAUUUUGUCUGAAUCUAUUCUGUGUCUAGUGUUCAUGGUGUUACCAUCUUAUAUCUGCACAGCACAUUUUAUAUUUUUUUAGAAAACUUUCACAUUAUUUUAUCGUCUUUAUUUAGAAAUGUAGAAAAUUAAAAAUGGGUAUUAAAAAACUAUUGGUCAGUUGGGAAACAUUGAGUAAUAACUCUUGUUAAAGUAAUAAGGGGAUUUCCUUUAGCAUAAAUGCUUCCCUCUUAUCCACAGAAAUAAUUUUAUGAUAGUUUAAUGUUUGAAAUAGUUAACCUAACUUCUCAGGUAAAAGUAGAAUACAGAGCUGAACUUCUCCAGAAAGACUUUUUAAUUUAAUUUGCUUCAAUUGCUGUAUGAAAUUACAUAGUAGUUUUCUACCUCUAUUAAUGAUGGUACACAUCAAGACUAACUUUUUGGGUUAGAAGCUGUGAAUACCAGUAUUAUUUCCCAUGAGAAUUAUUAUUAUUGGAAAAACUGUUGUAGGAUGAACAUUUUCAUUUUCGUUGUUAAUAAUAGUCUGUGACUGUUAUUUGGUCUCAUGAUUAGCUUAUUUUUCAUAAGCUCUGAGUCAUUUUAUUAUCAUCAUUAUUAAUACCUGAUUAUUGUAUAUUUUUUUUCUUAUUAGUUGACUUUUUAGAGAUUUCCAGAGGGUAAAGGCAUGUUCUCCCUCUCCUAAGCUGCCAAUAUAAAGGGGAAGAAAAACUAAUUUAAAAGGAUCUACAGGGCUUCCCUGGUGGUGCAGUGGUUGAGAGUCCGCCUGCCGAUGCAGGGGACACGGGUUCGUGCCCCAGUCUGGGAAGAUCCCACAUGCUGCGGAGCGGCUGGGCCCGUGAGCCAUGGCCACUGAGCCUGCGCGUCCAGACCCUGUGCUCCGCAACGGGAGAGGCCACAACAGUGAGGCCCGCGUACUGCCAAAAAAAAAAUGGAUCUACAGGUUGUGUGUUGCUUGGUAAAAGAAAAUCCCACAUCUGCAAAUGUGAAUGUACUACAAAAAAUGUAUUUUAUGUUACAACAGAAUUCAUCUCUGAUUUAAUAUAAGAAACAUGCUCCACUAGUACAUGUAGAAUUAUUAUUGGUUUAUACAAAUUUCAAAAAUAAGUGUACCAUGUGUGUAGAGGAAGGAAUUGUUGAAUUUGUUAAAUUGAGGCAUGCUUAUGUUCAGUUUGAUCUCUUGUUUUUCACGUAUUUUUUAUUGUCCCCAAUGCAUGGGUAUUUUUCUUUUUAAUUAAUUUAUUUUUGGCUGCAUUGGGUCUUCAUUGCGGUGCACGGGCUUCUCAUUGCAGUGGCUUAUUGCAGAGCACGGCCUCUAGACGCAUGGGCUUCAGUAGUUGUGGCACACGGGCUCAGUAGUUGUGGCUUGUGGGCUUUAGAGCGCAGGCUUAGUAGCUGUGGUGCAUGGGCUUACUUACUCUGCAGCAUGUGAGAUCUUCCCGGACCUGGGAUCAAACCCAGGUCCCUUGCAUUAGCAGGCGGAUUUUCUUUUUUUUUUUUAACUUCUUUAUUGGGGUAUAAUUGCUUUACAAUGGUGUGUUAGUUUCUACUUUAUAACAAAGUGAAUCAGUUAUACAUAUGUUCCCAUAUCUCUUCCCUCUUGCAUCUCCCUCCCUCCCACCCUCCCUAUCCCACCCCUCCAGGUGGUCACAAAGCACUGAGCUGAUCUCCCUGUGCUAUGCUGCUGCUUCCCACUAGCUAUCUGUUUUACGUUUGGUAGUGUAUAUAUGUCCAUGCCUCUCUCUCGCUUUGUCACAGCUCACCCUUCCCCCUCCCCGUAUCCUCAAGUCCGUUCUCUAGUAAGUCUGUGUCUUUAUUCCUGUCUUACCUCUAGGUUCUUCAUGACAUUUUUUUUUCUUAAAUUCCAUAUAUGUGUGUUAGCAUACGGUAUUUGUCUUUCUCCUUCUGACUUACUUCACUCUGUAUGACAGACUCUAGGUCUAUCCACCUCAUUACAAAUAGCUCAAUUUCGUUUCUUUUUAUGGCUGAGUAAUAUUCCAUUGUAUAUAUGUGCCACAUCUUCUUUAUCCAUUCAUCCAAUGAUGGACACUUAGGUUGUUUCCAUCUCCAGGCUAUUGUAAAUAGAGCUGCAGUGAACAUUUUGGUACAUGACCCUUUUUGAAUUAUGGUUUUCUCAGGGUAUAUGCCCAGUAGUGGGAUUGCUGGGUCAUAUGGUAGUUCUAUUUGUAGUUUUUUAAGGAACCUCCAUACUGUUCUCCAUAGUGGCUGUACCAAUUCACAUUCCCACCAGCAGUGCAAGAGUGUUCCCUUUUCUCCACACCCUCUCCAGCAUUUACUGUUUCUAGAUUUUUUGAUGAUGGCCAUUCUGACUGGUGUGAGAUGAUAUCUCAUUGUAGUUUUGAUUUGCAUUUCUCUAAUGAUUAAUGAUGUUGAGCCUUCUUUCAUGUGUUUGUUGGCAGUCUGUAUAUCUUCUUUGGAGAAAUGUCUAUUUAGGUCUUCUGGCAGGCAGAUUCUUAACCACUGCACCACCAGGGAAGUCCGAAUGCAUUGGUAUUUAUGGGCUUUUACCUGAAUGCUCCCCUUCCUCUCAGUCAAUGUAGGCAUAUUUUCUAAGUCAUUUGUAGGUAUUUUCCUCUAUACCUAUCCACAGGAUAUUCUCCUGUUCUGUUUUACCUAUCUUUCCAUCUUUUAGGUGCAUGAUUUAUCAAAAGUAGAAGGGAUGCUAGAACUUGUCUUUUUGUCCAACCAUAUUAAAGGGAAAAAGAAUUUUUAAAAAAAUCUUUCAUUUUUGAAAACUUCAAACAUACACAAAAGUAGAAAGAAUAGUAUAGUGAACAUCCAGCUACAUCAACGAAUGGCUGUUAUUCAUUCCCACAAGAUUAUUUUGAAGCAAAUCCCAGACAUAAUAUUUAGUAUUGAAUCUUUUUGCAACCUGCUUGUAUAAUAUCAUCUCCUUCUUCCCACCUCCCAUCCCCAUCAAGUGGUUCAUAAAUUUAAAGAAAUGAGAUAUUAUCUAAAUAUGGAGAAGACUGGUGGUGGUUUUGUCUUAUUAAUGUUUCUUAAGAGCUAUCAUAUGUUGGGUAUUUACUAUGUGCCAGACAAGAGCCCUUUGAUGUUAAUAUCUGUUUUACAGGUGGAAAAACGGAAUUUGGAAAGGUUAAGGGUUUCAUUUAUGAUCACUCAGCUAAAGAGUGGUAGACCUGGGAUGGGAAUUCAAAAGCCUGUGCUAUAAAAAAUUAAAGCAUACGCCCUUUUUUUAGACUUUCUUAUUUGGUUCCACCAAGUUGCCUUUUCUUUCUUUGUUCCCUACUACUGAUGGCUUACUCAAUUUCUAUUACAGUAAAGAAUUCUACUCAUAAUAUUAUCAUAAAUGGUAGCAUAAUUCUUUCAAUACCCCGGCCUAAAAUGUCUUGCCCUCUUCUCUUCAGUGCUACGGUCUAGUUUGUCUAUCCUUUUUCUUCUCAAAUUUUUAGUUUUGUCAGAGCUAAGUAGGUUUGAGCUGACUGCUUCCACUGGCUUAAGUUUUCCUUCAUACAUUGCUAGACUGGCCUUUCUUCACCAUUGGCUGAGAUCUGAGCAUAGAUUUUGAAGAGGAAAGAUAGCAAAGGAUAUCCAGGUGAUCCUGGGCCUUAAGCUUGGUGAGCCUUCCACGUGGACCAGCUUAGUUGACAGAGCACUUUGAAAUUUGUAACAAAAGCAUUGUAGUAACAGUGUGUUGUUACCUGGCCUUUCCUUCUAUUCAUAUCCUUCCCAGAGAUCUCAGGUGUGGACAGAGGGGCAAACAGGGUAAAGCAGAUUGAUGUCAAGAUUCAGGAUUCCUGGAUUUUAGUCAAAUGCUUUUUGAGUUCUAACUUCCUAUGACUUAGAUUUGGCUCUUGGUUAUAAAUGUUUCAAAACAUGUGAUGGAAAGCGAAGUUGCUGAGUAGUGUAUAAUUGCUGAGAAGGGGAGGGAGCAAUUUGGCAGAUUUUUUAAAAGAUACGCUAGUUUGGUAAUUCAAGAAUCACCCGUCUCAGACUAAUGCUACCUUAGUAGAUACAGGAAGAUGUGACAAAGGUAAGUGGGAGAAAUUCCCAUCAAAAUAAAAUGGGAAGCUCUUUGCCUUCACUAAGAAUAAAAAGUGAGAGGAACAUAAAUAUCUGUGAAUAUGUGCCUGUGUUGAAAUGUGGCUUUUUCAUUGCAUGGUUAAUGAUAUAAACACUAAUCUUGUCAUAUGUGUUAGGUUAUGUGAAUUUUCAUUCAGCUAGUAAGGAAACUGAUGAAGUUUAUCUUGUAUAAAUGGGCAUUGAUUUAAUUUAUUUGAUCACAAUAAAAUGAUACUUUAAUUAUUUUAAAAAAAGAAGUCCAUAAAUCUUUGGGAAUAGUUAUUGAAAAAAACCUUUAAGCUGGUCAUUUUUCUGAGUGUUUAAUGUAAUUAACACAUCUUUAAAAAAUGAUUUAGUUAAUAUACUCCUACAUAAAACGAUCAGUGUGUUAAUAUUUUACUUAUUGUUUAUCUAUUGGAAACCUAACAAUUAUGCUUAGCAGUAUUUUUAUAAUACUUAAUAUGUUAGAUACCCUAUCUAGAGCUGGUUUUUGUUCUGGAAAGAGAAUACAUCAGGAUAAAAAUAAUGAAAUAAUAUGGAUUAAUUUCUAACAAUUUUUUGAGAGGUACUGAAGUUUUGCUGUAUGACUUUUUCAAAAGAAAAGCAGGUAUGAUUAAAGUGAUAAGGCUGUGUACCAUGUGAGACUUGUACAACCAAUAUUUAUUUGUAUAUACAUAUAUUUUCUAUGCAUAGAUUUUUACUGUGGAGUAUUUACUAAAAUAGAUUUUGGCGUGUUAAAAUAAACAGGCAUGUACAGAGAGUCAAAUCCAUAUAGUCUCUUGAUAACCAUUUCAAGACCCAUGGCUUGUGGCUGCAAUCUUAUCUAAAAGAUAACAUUCCCUUUGUCCCCUUUCUCCUUAGGCAAAGAACUUCCGUUUAAUUUUCAUGUAACAUAUCCAAAUCAAAGAUUGUUUUAUUUUAUUGGUGAUAGGCAAAGGUAAAUUCAUAAAUGGGGUAAAGAUAAAGAAGAGAAACUAGAAUUUUCCACAGUAAGUGAGAAGACUUUAGGUAGGAAUUAUAAGAAGCUGUAAACCUAUGUGGGACUUAAUUUUUGUAAAAAAUAAGUAGGCCACAUAAGUGAUAGUCCAACCUGAAUGAGUUGUUUUGGUCAAGACUGUUAAACUAUUAAGAAGAUUGAAUUAUCCACAGAUUUUGAUCUUUUAAAACCAAGGGAAUGUAAAUUAAUGGAGAAGAGUAUUCUGAUAUAAUUACAUUGAUAAAAAAUGAGCUGACAUUGUGGUAAAGACAAGGAACCAGAGGUGUUGAUAACCCAGACAAUUUUUGCCUUUUUUUUCCCUUUUCCUGAGAACUUAAACUUUAUUUUGGAAAAAGUGGAAGGUUUGUUAUUGUUAAAUGAUUAAUAAAUAUUUUUGUAUUUAUGUUACUACUUGAUAGGAAUUAUUUGUUAAAACUAUACGAAGAUGUCUAGGUAAAAUACCUUUAGAUAUUGCUCUACCUAAGUCAGCCAGUCCACAUUUUGUCAGAUAUUCUUUAGCAAGUAAUCCAGAGGAGAUCAACUGAUUUGAGGAAUAUGAGUGUAUAUCCAGUUAUAAGCAGAAAAGAAGGUAAAGAAUAAAGGCUAUAUUAAGAAACAGGAGGGAUCUGUUGUCAAGUCAUGCUGCUGCUAAUGUCUGGUUUCUGUUACUUAAGAACAGAAGUGUAAGUAAUGAUGGUAAUGAUGUUGUUACAUAUAACUGGAUUGUGAAAUAAGCAGCACACUUUAUUUUUUUUAAUUUUUUUAAAAGAAAUUUCUUUUUGGCUGUGCUGGGUCUUCAUUGCUGCGAGCGGGCUUUCUCAAGUUGCAGCGAGCGGAGGCUACUCUUUGUUGCGGUGUGCAGGCUUCUCAUUGCGGUGGCUUCUCGUUGCAGAGCACAGGCUCUAGGCGUGCGGGCUCAGCAGUUGUGGCACACGGGCCCUAGAGCGCGUGCGCUUUAGUAGUUGUGGCGUGCAGGCUCAGUAGUUGUGGCUCAUGGGCUCUAGAGCGCAGGCUCAGUAGUUGUGGCACACAGAUUUAGUUGCUCCGCGACAUGUGGGAUUUUCACAGACAAGAGAUGGAACCUGUGUCCCCUGCAUUGGCAGGCGGAUUCUUAACCACUGCGCCACCAGGGAAGUCCAGCAGCACACUUUAAAACUUGACGCUGAAAGGAUACUUACUUUCAGAUGGCAGAAUUUUCAGGAACUUCAGAUGUUUGGUACAGUAAGGAUUUGGUACAGUCUAGGAUUCUGCCAAGAAUCAGGAAUGAGUCACUUGCUUUUGCAUGAGGUUGCUUCUCAUUCAUAUUUCUUCCCUACUCUGUAUAUCUCCAUUUUUCUUUACACAUUUUUCUUUUUCUCUCUUUUUGUACAUGUAACAUAAAUUGAUAUAUGUUUGGAAUACAUCAAAUGAAAAGUAAACUGAAUUAAUUUUAAAAAUAAAUAUGUAUGUGUUUUAGUCUGGGGUAACAGACAGCUUCAGAAGCCCAUGCAGAUAAGAAUGACUUUAGAAGUAGAAAAAUGGUGGUCAUAGUUAAGAGAAUGAAAUUCACUAGACAGAGAUAAGGGUUGAAAUACAUUCAGUAAACUUUUUUUAGUGAAUAUUUUUAGCUGUAUUUGUAUCACUGUUAAUUAAGUUCAUAAAACAGUUUUAUUUUGAUAUAAUGCAAAUAGUUUUGUCUCUUCAUUGGCUUUCUCUAUUUAUGAAUUUUAAAAAACUUAAGGGGUACAAUCUUUCUUGAAGUUAAGCAUUAGUUCUUCCAUUUUUUUGAAGAAAUUUUAUUUUUUUAAUUUUUAAUACUGAAUAAAAGAUUUUUUUUUUUUAGUUUUUAUUGGAGUAUAGUUGUUUUACAAUGUUGUGUUAGUUUUUACUGUACAGCAAAGUGAAUCAGCUAUAUGAAUACAUAUAUCCUCUCUUUUUUGGAUUUCCUUCCCAUUAGGUCACCACAGAGCAUUGAGUAGAGUUCCCUGUGCUAUACAGUAGGUUCUCAUUAGUUAUCUAAUUUAUACACAGUAUCAGUGUAUAUAUGUCAAUCCCAAUGAUGGUUUAAAUCUUUAUGAUUCUUUAAAUUCUUUAGUGCUUUACAGUUUUCAAGUUUCACACAUGUGAUUUCAUAUAAUCUCAUAAUAACCCUUUUUUAAAUCCCUUACCCCUGUAUUGCACCUUUGCUCUCCCCACUGGUAAUCACUAGUUUGUUCUCAAACUGUGAGUCUGCUUCUUUUUUGUUUUAUUCACUAGUUGUAUUUUUUAGAUUUCACAUGUAAGUGAUAUCAUGUGGUAUUUGUCUUGCUCUGUCUGACUUAUUUCACUUAGCAUAAUGCCUUCCAAGUCCAUGCAUGUUACAGAAUGGCAGAAUUUCAUUCUUUUUUAUGGCUGAGUAGUGUUCGUUGUAGAUAUAUAACACACCUUUUUUAUCCAUUCAUCUGUUGAUGGACUUUUUAUUUUACGCCACGUCAUAUGAAGAAUAUUUGAACUUAUAGAGAAAACAAUGUUAAAAAAUAAUUUUAGACAUGAAUUUAAGUGCAUUUCAAAUAUUAAUCGUAUCUAGCUAACCCUGUAAAGAUUGUAUCUCGGUAGGAUGGAAGAGAUGAUUAAAUGUACUCUGCAUUCAGAAGUUUAAUUCCUCUCAUUAGUUCUCCAACUGUUUACCACAUUCAGAGGCUCAUUUUGAAAAUACUUGCAUAUAAUAGUAACAGUAGAGGUCCAUUUUGGAAACACUUGCACAUUAAAACAAUAAUAAAAGGUGGCUUUGAGUCAGGCAGACCUGGGUACAAAUUUAUCUUCACACUUUACCCGCUAUGGGAUGUAGAGAGAACUAAUUUCAGUUUAUUCCUAUAAUAAAUACUGUGUAGGACGGUUGUGAGAAUUGAGAAAGAGGCAGAGAACUUUGUCUUUGCUUAAUAAAUAAUAGAUCACUUGAAAAAAAAACUGUUGAAGCUGAUCCAUAGAGUUUGCUCUUUGGAUAUACUCUUAAAAUAACACAAUUUAAUUUCUUUUAAACAUUUUUUGUAAUAUAGAGCAAUAAUUGUUCUCUCUGGAUUUUAAGUUGCACUGUGUUUGGUCUACCCAAAACUUUUACAUAUUUGCAAGUUCCUGUAAUGGUUUGGGUGAUGACAUUUAUGUAUGAUUAACAUUAUGACAUUUAUUGGUAUAUCCUACAGGUUAGAGUAGCAAAAAAUACUCAAUUUUUGUUCUUUGCCAGCUAAGAGAACCUACUACAUGUUUUUUAUUAGGUUAAAAAGAAAUAGUAGGUUUUCUUAGGUUAAAAAGAAAUAGUAGGUUUUCUCUAGGUUAAAAAAUUGUUGCAUCUUGGGCAGUGGAAUGGAAUGGGAAAAACCUCAAGGCAGGAGCACUGGGUUCUGGCAUAAGUAUGACUACAACUGUAUGAUUUUAAGCAAAUACAUCACAUAAUCUCUCUGCAUCUUGGUUUCCUUAUUUGUAAAAUGAGAACGUCUUGGAGAACCUGAUUACAGUAUUUCAAGAAAAAUUACUGUGUUGAUUUUCACCAUUGAAUAGUUUGGGGAUGGUUGACAUGAAAUCCAUUAGGAAAUAGAAUAUUCAUAUUGUGUAUAACAGGACGGCAAAGCUAAACUAAAUAAUGUGCUCAAAGAUGUUUGUCUUAAAAGACACAUGCACCCCAGUGUUCAUUGCAGCACUAUUUACAAUAGCCAGGUCAUGGAAGCAACCUAAAUGCCCAUCGACAGACGAACGGAUAAAGAAGAUGUGUGGUACAUAUACACAAUGGAAUAUUACUCAGCCAUGAAAAGGAACGAAAUGGGGUUAUUUGUAGAGACAUAGAUAGACCUAGAGACUGUCAUACAGCGUGACAUUAAGUCAGAAAGAGAAAAACAAAUAUUGUAUAUUAGCACAUAUAUGUGGAAUCUAGAAAAAUGGUACAGAUGGACCUGUUUGCAAGGCAGAAAUAGAGACACAGAUGUAGAGAACAAACGUAUGGACACCAAGGGGGGAAAGGGGAGGAGGGAUGAAAUGGGAGAUUAGGAUUGACAUACAUACACUAAUAUGUAUAAAAUAGGUAACUAAUGAGAAUCUGCUGUAUGGCAUAGGGAACUCCACUUUGCUGUACAGUAGAAACUAACACAACAUUGUAAAACAACUGUACCCCAAUUACAAAAAAAGAUGUCUUCUAAAAUGUUCAUGGGAAUGAAGACUCUUCAUCUUUAAGUAGAAAGCAGGAUGUGUAAGGAAUGGGCAACAGCUCCUCAAAUUCAUGCAAAAUACAUAACUAACUUUUCUCACUAAGAAUAUUAGCUAAACACUCACAAGGUGAGAGGAACUUAGUCUCAUUUAGCUAAUAAUAGUUAUAUCUGCAUUUCAUAUAAAAAGAUAAAAAUGCAUUUUCUUUUGUUUAUUCAAUUUAUUUUUUUAAAAAAUUCACCCAUUUCUCCCACCCACCACCCCACCCCCUACUCCUGGCAGUCACCAGUCUGUUCUCUGUAUCUGUGAGGUUGGUUGGUUGGUAGGUUGGUUUGUCUGUUUGCUUGUUUGUUUCAGGUCUAACAAAUCAUGUGGUAUUUGUCUUUCUCUGACUUAUUUCAUUUAGCAUAGUGCAAUCAAAGUCAUCCAUGUUUUCACAAAUGGCAAGAUUUUGCUCUUUUUUAUGGCUAAACAAUAUCCCUGUGUGUGUGUGUAUUUGUGUAUACACACACACAAUUUUUUUAUCCAUUCGUACAUCAGUGAACACUUAAGUUCUUUGCAUAUCUUGGGUAUUGUAAAUAAUGCUGCAGUGAAUGGGGGUGCAUACAUCUUUUUUUUUUUUUUGGCCACGCUGCAUGGCUUGCAGGAUCUUAGUUCCCUAACCAGGGAUCAAACCUUGGUCCUUGGCAAUGAGAGCAUGAAGUCCUAACCACUGGACCUCCAGGGAAUUCCCCACAUACAUCUUUUUGAAUUAGCAUUUUUAUUUUCUUUGGAAAAUACCCAGAAGUAGAAUUGCUGGAUCAUACGGUAAUUCUCUUUUUAAUUUUUUGAGGAACCUUCAUACUGUUUUCCACAGUGGCUGCAUCAAUUUUCAUUCUCACCAAUGGUGCAGAAGGGUUCUUUUUUCCUUAACAUCCUUGCCAACAUUUGUUAACUCUUUUUUUAAAAAAAAUUUAUUUAUUUUAUUUAUUUUUCACUGUGUUGGGUCUUCAUUGCUGCACACGGGCUUUCUCUAAUUGCAGCAAGCCGGGGCUACUCUUCGUUGUGGUGCAUGGGCUUCUUAUUGUGGUGGCUUUGUCUUGUUGCAGAGCAUGGCCUCUAGGCACGCAGGCUUCAGUAGUUGCAGCACACGGGCUCAGUAGUUGUGGUGCACGGGCUUAGUUACUCUGCAGCAUGUCGGUUCUUCCCGGACCAGGGCUCGAACCUGUGUCCCCUGCAUUGGCAGGUGGAUUUUCAACCACUGCGCCACCAGGGAAGCCCCGUACACUUGUUUUUUCUUGUCUUUUUGCUAGUAGCCUCUCUAACAGAUGUGAAUUGAUAUCUUAUUGUGAUUUUGAUUUGCAUUUCCCUGAUGCUUAAUGGCAUAGAGCAUCUUUUCAUGUCCUGUGGCCAUCUGUAAUGUCUUGUUUGGAAAAAUGUCUAUUCAGAUCAGCUCACUCUUUAAUCAGAUUGUGGGGUUUUUUGUUGUUGUUUUUUGCUUUUGAGUUGUAUGAGUUCCUUAUAUAUUUUGGAUAUUAUUCCCUUAUCAGAUAUAUGAUUUGCAAAUAUUUUCUCCCAUCCAUUGAUCUUUGUGUCUGUUUUUAUGCCAGUACCGUGCUGUUUUAAUUGCUAUAGCUUUGUAAUAUAAUUAGAAAUCAGGAAAUGUGAUGCUUCCAGCUUUUCUUUCUCAAGAUUGCUUUGGCUCUUUGGGGUCUUUUAUGGUUCCAUACGAAUUUUAGGAUUGUUUGUUUUAUGACUGUGAAAAAUGGUAUUGGAACUUUUAAAGGGAUUGCAUUGAAUCUGUAUAUUGCUAAUUUGUUUUUCUUAGAGUUUAUCAUUAAUGUAUAGAAACAACAGAUUUUUGUGUAUUCAUUUUGUAUCCUGCAACUUAACUGAAUUUGUUUAUUAAAUCUAACAAUCUUUUGAUGGAGUCUUUAGGGUUUUCAAUAUCAUGUCAUCUGCAGGUGGUGACAGUUUUACUUCUUCCUUUCCAGUUUGGAUAUGUUUUAUUUCUUUUUCUUGCCUAAUUGGUCUAACUAGGAUUUCCAAUACUAUGUUGAAUAAAAGUGAUGAGAGUGGGUAUCCUUGUCUUGUUCUUGAUCUUAGAAGCUUUCACUUUUUCACUGUUAAGUGUCAUGUUACCUGUGGGCUUGCCGUAUGGCCUCUGUUAUGUUGAAGUACGUUCCCUUUAUACUUGCUUUAUUGGGUUUUUAUUAUAAACGGAUGUUGAAUUUUGUCAGAUGCUUUUUCUGCAUUUGUUGAGAUGAUCGUAUGAUUUUUAUUUUUCAUUUGGUUAAUGUGGUGUAUCAUGAACCAUCUUUGUAUCUCUGGAAUAAAUCCCACUUGAUUAUGGUGUAUGUAUUUUUAUAGGUUGUUGUCUUUUAAUGUAUUGUUGAAUUCAUACCGACAUUUUGUUGUGGAUUUUUGCAUCUUUGUUCAUCAGGGAUAUUGGCCUGUGUUUCUUUUCUUGUGGCAUUCUUGUCUGGUUUUGGUAUCAGAAUAAUGCUGGUCUUGUAAAAUGAGUUUGGAAGAGUGCUCCUUCUGUUUUUGGGAAGAGUUUGAGAAGGAUUGUUAUUCUUCUUUGAGUGUUUGGUAGAAUUCACUAGUGAAGGUGUCUGGUCCUGAAUUUAUUUAUGUUGGGAGGUGUUUUUUUAAAUUACUGAUUCAGUUUCCUUAUAGUAAUCAGUCUGUGCACAUUUUAUUUUUCAUCAUGAUUUCAGUCUUGGUAGGUUAAUUGUUUCUUGGGAUUUACCCAGUUUUUGUAGGUUGUCCAAUUUAUUGGUGUAUAAUUGUUUAUAGUAGUCUCUUAUGGUCCUCUAUAUUUCUGUGGUAUUGGUUUUAAUAUCUCCCCUUUCAUUUCUGACUUUAAGUCGUCUUUUCUCUUGUUGGGUCUAGCUAGAGGUUUGUCAAUUUUGUUUAUCUUUUCAAAGAUAUAGCUGUUGGUUUCAUUGAUCUUUUCUACGGUCUUUUUUAGCCUGUAUUUCAUUUAUUUCUGCUUACUUCGUUAUUUCCUUUCUUCUGUUACUUUGAGCUUUGUUCUUUUUCUAGUUCCUACCAUGUCAAGUUGGGUGUUAGAGACUUUUUUUUGUUUUUCGAGGUAGGCAUUAAUUGCUAUGAACUUCCCUCUUAGAACUGCUUUCGCAGCUAACUUGUAAUCUUAGUGUUUACUUCUUUGGUUUUUUGACCUUCCUAAUAGCUUUAUAAGUGAUUAAUCCACUACCAUUUCUAUACAUAUUUACCUUUUCAGUGAGAUUUAUUCUUCCAUGUGUUUUCUUGUUACUAAUUAGCACCCUUUUUUUCAGCUUAAAGAAGUCCCUUUGACAUUUCUUGUAGGGCCAGUUUAGUGGUGAUGAAAAAUUUAGCUUUUGCUUGUCUGGAAAAUUCUUCAUCUCUCCUUCACUCUGAACGAUAACUUUUCUGGGUAGAGUAUAAUUAGUCGGAAGUUUUUCUUUUAGUGCUUUGACUGUACGGUUCCACUUCCUUCUGGCUUGCAAAGUUUCUGCUGAAAAAUCUGCUUAUAGGCUUAUGGGGCUUUCCUCAUAUGUAACAAGUUGUUUUUCUCUUGCUGUUUUUAAUAUUCUCUCUUUUGGCAUUUUAAUUAUAAUGUAUCUUGGUGGACUCCUCUACUUGGCAACUCUCUGGCCUUUCUGGGUCUGGAUGUCUGUUUCCUUCCUGGGUUAGGGACGUUUUCAGCCAGUAUUUCUUCAAAUAAGAUUUCUGCCCCUCUCUUCUUUUUCUGGGAGCCAUAUGAUGUGAAUAUUCGUCCAUUUGAUGCUGUCCCAUAAAUUCUUUAAGCUAUUUUCACUUUUUUUCAUUCCUUUUCCUUUUUGCUGUUCUGAUGGGGUGAGUUCCACUGCCUUGUCUUUGAGUUGACUGAUCUUUUAUUCUGCUUCAUUCAGUCUGCUGUUGAACUCUUCUAGUCUAUUUUUCAGUUCAGUUAUUGUGUUUUUUAAGUUUGUGACUUCUGUUUGGUACUUUCUUACUUUUUCCAUCUUUUUUUUUUUUUUUGCGGUACGCGGGCCUCUCACUGUUGUGGCCUCUCCCGUUGCGGAGCACAGGCUCCGGAUGCGCAGGCUCAGUGGCCAUGGCCCAUGGGCCCAGCCGCUCCGCAGGAUGUGGGAUCUUCUGGGACCGGGGCAUGAACCCGCGUCCCCUGCAUCGGCAGGCAGACUCUUAACCACUGCACCACCAGGGAAGCCCUUCCAUCUUUUUAUUGAAGUUCUCAGUGUUCAUCCAUUCUUCUCCCCAGUUCAGCAAGCAUCUUUAUGACCAUUACUUUUUAACAUUUUAUCAGGUAGAUUACUUAUCUCUGUUUCAUUAAAGUUUUUUUCUGAGGUUGGGACUUCCCUGGUGGCUCAGUGGUUAGGAAUCUGCCUGCCAAUGCGGGGACGUGGGUUCGAGCCCUAGUCCGGGAGGAUCCCACAUGCUGCGGAGCAGCUGAGCCCGUGCACCAUGGCUGCUGAGCCUGUGCUUUGGAGCCCGCACACCACAACUACUGAGGCCCGCGCCCCUAGAGCCUGUGCUCUGCAACGGGAGAAGCCACCACAAUGAGAGGCCCAUGCACUUCCACGAAGAGUAGCCCCCGCUCGCAGUAACUAGAGAAAGCCCGCACGCAGCAAUGAAGACCCAACACAGCCAAAAAAUAAAUUAAAAAAAAAAAAGUUCUUUUCUGAGGUUUUAGCUUGUUUUUCAUGUAGUCAACUCUGGAUUGCCUAGGCACCUUGGCUGGAUUUGCUUUGUGUCUGGGGAUGAGCUGGCUGAUGUAGGUUGACAUAAGUUGGGAUGACUGCAGCAACUAGAUUGUUCCACCUUUCUCAACCUUUAGCAGGCUACCUUGGAUCUGUUAUGGCAUGGCAGAAGUACAUAAAACAAGCAAAAAUAAUGAAGCACUUUUUCAAGCCUCUGGUUUUGUAAUGUCUGCUAGUACCUCAUUGGCUAAAACAAAUCACAUGACUGAGCCAAGCGUGAUGGUGGGAGGGUAUUAUAAAGUUACAUAGCAAAGGGCCUGGAUAUAUGAAGGAAUGAAGAACUGGGGCCGUUUGCAAUCUAUCUUUGGAAACAACAGUUUCAUUUUUUCAUGUAAUGUUCAUGAUAGUAGAUAUUUAUCAAGUACACAGUAUAUGCUUAACAUGUCUCAUUUAAUAAGUACAAUCAACAUGCAAAGAGUGUGAUAGCUUUUUACUUAACUAUGAAGAACAGGAUUAGAAUGAUUAAAUGAUAAAUGUGAUAGAACUGAUGGCUUGAAUCUGGGAGUGUCUGACUUCAGAGCUUAUAGGCUUUUACAUAAUUGUAAUCAUGUAAGUUAGAUUUUUAGUUUUCCUCCUAAGUUUUUUCUCCCUUAUUUUGGGGAAUAAGGAUGUGUGUGUUUUAUCAUGUAUUCUGUACUGCAUAUCUUGUUUUUUUCCUCCCAGAAUCUUUCCCCUUGUCUUUCAGUAGCAGUACCUUGGCUUUCCUUUAGGGAGCCACUUUUCCUAACAUUCAUGAGUUCAGUGUGGUUUGGAUGAGGCUGACUCACUUCUGUGACUUAUGCCUGGCCGUUGGUCACAGUGAGUGAGUGGUUCAGGGAUCAGCCUUGAGACUGGCUGGUGGCAUUCUUGGGAAAGAUCUUUUUUUUUCUGGGGUAGCUAAGCUACUAGCCUAUGAGCAGGAAGCAGCUACCAUGUGCGGAGAGCCUGCCUGUGAGUGAAGUGGUGUGCCUCUGUGUAAGACAACACAACAAUGGGGAGAGAAAUAUUGCUAUGCACUUGGAUCUAACUGUUCAUGAAAGGAGCUCUAAAAAGCCUUUUUGAGUCAAUACCUAUCUUUAUUGCUCAGGCCUAUUUAGUUUGGGUUUACUUGCAACCAGAAGUCCUUACUAACACUUUUUUUAAGUGCCAGAAAGACUAUAUCUCUUUAAGGGGAGUAGAAAAUCAAUAGCUUACUAUGGGUAAACAGUGUAAAAGCCAAAUUCUCUGGCCUUAUGGAGAUGGGGAGGGAUGAUUUGACUGGGAUGAUACUGUACCAGAAAGGAACAUAACAAGGUACAGCAUGGGGAUUUAGUAAGUUGAGAAAAUAGACUCACUACUAUAAGGCAUUCACUUCUUUCAUUCUUUCUUAGUGAAUUCUUCAGUAACCUUCUUGAGUUUCAAGUACAGUAUAAAUAUAUAGAGAGUGCCCAUUUGGGUGUUAGAGUUUAUUUUAUUUUUUCGCUUAUUUCUAUUUUACAACACAUUUUUCACUAAGAAACAGCAUUAUAAUUAUUGGUUCAUGAUACCAGGUCAGCCCACAAACAUGAUUUAAGUAAAUUGAAGGGUUUAAGUAAUGUAUUCUUGAAAUAAAAAGAACAGACAUCUAUUCCCAAUGCUGUGUCCUGGUUCUUUUUAUUAUCUGGAGAUGUUGAGAUCUUGAAUUCCAAUAUGCCAUUAUCCUUACAUGUUUACAUCUGUUGUCACAUGUAAUUUAAUCUUCAUAAUAACUUCACUAGCUGGGUAUUAUUUUAAUUUUAUACGUGGUAGAACAGCUGUGUGGAUUGGUGCUACUACAGAUUUACUGUGUCCAGCCUUAGCUGGACUCUCAGCACUGGGAAUUCUUUUUGCAUAUUCUUGGUCAGUUUCUAUAGCUUAACCACAGUGGCUCUCUUUUAGCUCCUGUGCACUCCUGCUUCUCACUCAGCUAAUGAUUUUGUCACCUACAGAGCAAUGAAAUUUGAGGGUAUGAAUGAAUAUUCCCCCAACAUUCCCCUCACCCCUAGGACUACUUGGGAAACUUGAGACCAACACCUACCUAAAGCAUUGUUUCAAAGCACUGACCACGUGAGAUAUCUGUGAAAUUUGAAAAUUUGGGGUCCUACCUCAGAUUUGCUGAAUCCAAAUCUUCUUAGAUGGGGCAUGGAAAUCUAUUUUUAACAGGUAUCUCAAGUGAGUCUUCUUGUACACACUAAAGUUUGAAAACCACAGGCAUUUAGAAUAAAGCUACUUUAAGGAGCAUAUAAGACCCUCAUUAAUUUUCCCAGCCUACUUACCCUCUCUUUGUAUAUGCUGCCCAGUCCCUACUCUCUAAUUUCUCAAGUCCUCUGACCACAAAAUACAGGUCACUCUUUUUCUAGUGUGCAAGCAUUAUUGUACUACUUUCUUUACCUUCUUACCUUCGUUUCUCCAAUUCUGCUUCUUCUAGCUUGCAAGACCCUUGAAGUCAGCAACCAUGUCAUGUUUUUCUUUGUAUUUUAAGUACUUGGCAAAGUGACUGGCACACAGUGGAUGCGCAGUAAAUGUUUGUGGAAAGGUAGAAAACAGGACUUUGAAAUAUCACAAACUACGCAAAUUGAGUAGUAGUGUUCUGUUUACAGUGACUGAAGUUAUUUAAGGAAAAACAAAAUUAGUAUGAGAAACAGGGAGUGCAGAUAUUCUGGACACAAUUUGUGGUACCUUCAGUGGCUUUAACACAGUGAUUUUUAAGGCGGUUAGGUGGGUGGAGUUGCCCCUUUGAGAACCACUGUAUUACUGGAUACUAGGGACCAGUUUCUUUGCAUGUGAAUUGUGUGACAACACAAGUAAAACCCAUCCUGUAACAGGAGAAACAUUAUUUCUUUAUUUUGUCUUGUUUCACUUCAAAAUGUAAUCUUUUCCUUUUUGUUCAGAAUAUGUGUAUUAUUUUGAGUUUUCUGAAGUAUCAGCAAAAGGGAUAGGAAAGGGCUGGGCAUUUUCCAUAGACAAAUAGGUAAGAGUUGGAGGUGGGCAGCAGGUAGAGAAAGAAGAAUGUUCUGAUUGUGUAAGAGUAAAAAAUAGUGACAUUCUCUCCAAAAGUUCAGGAACAUUUAUUAACAUACUGUGUGUGUGACACAGUUCGCUUGAGAUAGAAACAAAUGAACCAUGAGCAAUGCUAGCUAUAUUAAAGGACAAGACUAUCAUGAAUGUUCUCAAAGUGGUGAUAUGGCAAGAAAGAGGUAUUUCAAUAUGACUUUGUCACCACUCUAGCCACCAUGUAGUGAUGUUGAUGCUUCAGGGAUGGUGGAGCUGUGGAAUGUCAUUGGAGAAGAAAAGAUUGUAUGAAUGCUUUAUUUUUAAAUAUUCAUACUUAGGUUUUUAUAACUCUUGAGAGUGCCUUAAUAUUGUUUAUAUUUUGCUAUCAGGAGUUCACAGAUCCAUACUUUAACAAGCAUGAAUGAAUUUAUUUGUAACUUUUAGAUUCUAAAACCCUCAUGGAGGAUGGCGUGAUGGACAGAGAAUGGACAUGGAUACAAGCUAUUCUUUUUCUACUGGCUCUUCCGGUCUCUUUGACAAGUUUGAGAAAAUAACUGAAGAAAAGUGAGGCUCUGUUUUCAGUUGUAUGGCAGUAUUCUGCCAGUAUCUAUCAGGACUCUUCUAUUGCAAGUUCAGAAACCCAAUUCAAAUUAAUUUAAGUCAAGAAGGUCAUUUUGUAGAUUUAUGAACUGGGAGUUAGCAGAAUAAAGGUAAAGCUAGGUUCUUAUAUGACUGGAUCCAGAAAUUUUACUUAUGUCAUCAGGAAUAUCUGCUUAUCUCCAUCUCUAAGCAUUCAUUUCUUCUUUUGGUUUCCUUUUUGAGCAGGUAUGAUGGUAAAGAUGAUCAAUGGCAGCUCUAGACUUACAUAAUUUUUAAAGUCCACAUAUGUCUCUUUCUGUAUAGCACCAACCAAAUUGGGAGGAUGGAAGGGUUCAUGUCACUAAGGCCUGUGGGAGUGUGAUUCUCUGACCCAACCAGUGACAGGUGCCUGGCUUUGGAAAGAGGCUUAAGUUCAGCCCUCCCUUACGGCUUGAAGGAGGAGCAGAUUGACUGUUCAAAAGAAAAUUGGGGGGCUUCCCUGGUGGCGCAGUGGUUGAGAGUCCACCUGCUGAUGCAGGGGACACGGGUUCAUGCCCCAGUCCGGGAAGAUCCCACAUGCCACGGAGCGGCUGGGCCCGUGAGCCAUGGCCGCUGAGCCUGCACGUCUGGAGCCUGUGCUCUGCAACGGGAGAGGCUACGACAGUGAGAGGCCUGCGUACCGCAAAAAAAACCCCAAAAAACAAAUUUUAGUAUGUGCAAUGAGAAGUCUUGCUCCCACCCAUUCCACAUUUACUCUAGUUUUAUUUUCCUCCUAUAAGCAUUUUUAUUACGUGUUCUUUCAGUGUUUCUUUGUAAAAAUGAAAGCAGAUGUUAGUAUUUUUUGACUUUUCCCCCUUUCGUACAUAUAGUGAUACAUACAGAAUACCUUCUUCUGUACCUUGCUUUUUUCACUUAAUGUAUUUAAGCUAUCUUUCCAUUCGGUAUUUAAAGAGCAUUUUCAUUUUUCGCAGCUGCAUUGUAUUCCAUUGUGUGGAUGUGUACUGUGAUAUAUUAAACUAGGUGGUUUUGAACAUCUGAGUUUUCACUUUUCACUUAACACUGUGCUAUAGUGAAUGAUGUUGUAUGUGUUAUUUUGUAUGUACUGGUGUAUGUAGGAUACAUUCCCAGAAAUGGUAUUACUGAGUUAAGGGUAAAAUGUAUUUGUAAUUGUGAUAGGUAUUGUCAAAUUGCCCUCUACCUAGGUGGUAUAAUUUUGUAUUCCCUCCAUCAGUGUAAGAGAGUGCUGUUAGGAGAAUGUUUGUAUCCCCACAACCUUACCAGUAUGGUAUUGUGUCUGACUUGUGGAUUAUUGCAAAUCUGAUAGGUAAAAAAUAUGCGCAGUGUAGUUUUCAUUAGCAUUCUCUUUAUCAGUGAGGUUGAGCCUCUUAUUUUUAAAGACAUUUCCAUUUACAUUUGAUCUUGAAUUGACUUCCUGCAGUGAUUGUGAUACAUUGCCAAUGGUGAAAGUAAUAAUAAUAUUUUAAUGGGGAAGAAAGGGAGGAGAUGAUUGUUACUAGAAAAAAAUUUUUGGAUCCUCUCCCUUCAACUAAUGGAUUUUCACAUAAUUCAGAAUUGAUUCUGAAAGUUCAGAUGCUUUGUUACUGCUUUAGGAGACCUGCAGUGUGUGAUUGGUGCAGCACAGCCAUACAGGUUUUUCUGAGCGUGCCUUUUGUACCCUUUCAAGAAAGCAUAGAUUGGUGUUACGCCGUCUCUUUAAACUGCAUCAAAGGAUUGUAGAAAAUUGUUCAAAUUUUGCCCAAAGGUCUGGUCUUGUAUUCACCGUAGGUGUUUGCUGAAGUAGACUCUUUAUCUAGUUGGUGUAAGUUGAUUUCUGUAAAUGUUUUUGCUUACAUUUAGUGAGUUCUACAAAAUGCUAGAUGCCUUCUUUCAUGGUGCUGUUUGUCUCCAAAUUGCCUAUUUUAUCUGUUCUUUUUGGCACUUCAUUCUUUCUGUGUCAGUCAGCAUUUUGUUUACUGAAUGUUGGGAGAACAAUUUUGAGCUUUUUGGUAGUAAUGUCACUUUGCAUUCUGAACUGAAACCCUCUUCUCUAAGCAGUUAUGUUUUUGCAGCUAUUAAUGCCAUUAAAUAUUGUCUUGGCAUGAGUUUAUGAACAUUAUUGUUUAAUUUCUCAAAAUCUGACAUCUAAGGAAUUAUAGAAGCAUAUAAUAGAAUAUACAACAAAGAUUAAAAAUAUUAAGAAUAAAUGUGCGCAGUUAAGAAGGGAACAAUAGGCAGAAUAAGGGUAGAAACUGAUGACUCAGAGAACAGUCUUAUAUUCUGAGAACCAGGUUGGUAAGGAAGUAGAUACUCAGUGACUCAUAGAUACUGAUCCAAAAUGUUCUCUGUCCAAUAUAGGUAUAUUUACUUAAUGGAUUUCUCAAGCAAGGACAGCCUCUUUGCUUUAGGAACAGUCUUUGUUUAGAUAGUUUGGUUGAAUUGCAUUUUUAAUUUAUUCAUUGAGCGAAAUGUUCUGUGAACAUUUAUGCUAACUACUAAGCACUAUGCUAGAUGCAGGGAUACAGUGAUGUAUUUAGGAGACUGUACUUGCUUACAUGGCACUUAGAGUCUAACAGGAGAAAUAGGGCCAUUAAUUACAUGAGAAACCUAUAACUGACUGUGAAAUGAGACAGGAGCUCUGCAAGGAGACAGUGUUCUCUCUGUGUAUGUAAUUGUGUUUGUGGAGGGGGACAGAUUGGAGUAAUAGAAAUUCGGAAGAAUUUCUAAGAAAUUUUUAUUUGAGAAGUGAAAAAUGAAUAAGAGUUAACUAAUUAGGGGAAGGAAGAGGAGAAGAGUGGUAGGUAGAGAGAAUUCUUUCAGACAGGGUAUCAGAGCAUGUUUUCAGAAGACAGAAAAAGAAAAUAGACCAUGGUUUCCCUCUUAGGAUUCUGAUAUAUAUAAAUAUUUAUAUUUCAUUUUCACAACUUGGUGGCACUUAAGCAUGCUUUAGGCUCAAUUUUGGCUGUAGAAUAUUCUUUGACUAUUUUUUUUAAUUAGGGAAACUGAUACAUGUGAAAUUCUGGGGGGUGGGGAGCACUGGAUGAGUUUAUUAUUAAAAUGUUACAGGGAAGAAAGACAGAGUGUACUCAGGCACUGGAUAUUUCUGUAAAUGGACAGCUGUACAGUCACUUCCGUUGGGGAAGCAUGAAGGCAUUAUUUAGUAGGCACUCCUGCCUUACCCUCUUCUCUUUCCAAGUUCAAAUAGGAGUGAUUUUCUUUUACCACCUUUUUAAAUUGAGAUAUUAAAAUGCACAGAUCUUAAGUUUUGACAGUUGUGCAUACGCCUGUGACCUCCAUCCAAAACAAGAUAAAAAACCUCGUGGAAAGUUUACUCCUGUCCUUUUCCAGCCAGUUGCUCACCACCACAAUAACUGAUUUCUAUCACCAUAAAUUAGUUUUGCCUACAUCCUAGAUUUCACUAAAAGAAUCUUACAGUAUGCACUCUUUUUGUGUCUGGCUUCUUUCGCUUAAACAAAUAUUUGUGUGUGUUGUUACAUUAAUAGUUCAUUCCUUUUUUUAAGUGGAUUUAUUGAGACAUAAUUCAUAUAGCAAAUAAUUUACCCAUUUAAUGUAUAAAAGUAAAUGAUUUUUACUAUAUUCAUGGAGUUGUAUAAUCAUUACCACAAUGAGAUUUUAGAACAUGUUUGUCACCCCAAUGGGUAUCAUUAUAUUCGGUUUACAGAUGAGAACCCCUACCCAUUUAGCAGUCACUCCUUAUCCUGUCCCCUAUCUUUCUAACCCCCCAGCCAUAGACAAUUACUUAUUUACUUUGUCUCUAUAGAUUUGCCUAUUCUGGACAUGAUUAGUUCAUUCUUUUUUUUUUUUUGCGAUACGUGGGCCUCUCACUGUUGUGGCCUCUCCCGUUGCGGAGCACAGGCUCCGGACGCGCAGGCUCAACGGCUGUGGCUCACGGGCCCAGCCGCUCUGUGGCAUGUGGGGCUUGAACCUGUGUCCCCUGCAUUGGCAGGCGAACUCUCAACCACUGCGCCACCAGGGAAGCCCCAGUUCAUUCUUUUUUAUUUUAUUUUAUUUUUUUCAUCUUUUUUGGAGUAUAAUUGCUUUACAAUGGUGUGUUAGUUUCUGCUUUAUAACAAAGUGAAUCAGUUAUACAUAUGUUCCCAUAUCUCUUCCCUCUUGUGUCUCCCUCCCUCCCACCCUCCCUGUCCCACCCCUCUAGGUGGUCACAGAGCACCGAGCUGAUCUCCCUGUGCUAUGCGGCUGCUUCCCACUAGCUAUCUGUUUUACGUUUGGUAGUGUAUAUAUGUCCAUGCCACUCUCUCACUUUGUCACAGCUUACCCUUCCCCCUCCCCAUAUCCUCAAGUCCAUUCUCUAGUAGGUCUGUGUGUUUAUUCCCAUCUUACCCCUAGGUUCUUCAUGACUUUUGUUUUUUUCUUAAAUUCCAUAUAUAUGUGUUAGCAUACGGUAUUUGUCUUUCUCCUUCUGACUUACUUCACUCUGUAUGACAGAGUCUAGGUCCAUCCACCUCACUACAAAUAACUCAAUUUCGUUUCUUUUUAUGGCUGAGUAAUAUUCCAUUGUGUAUAUGUGCCACAUCUUCUUUAUCCAUUCGUCUGAUGAUGGACACUUAGGUUGCUUCCAUGUCCUGGCUGUUGCAGAGCUGCAGUGAACAUUUUGGUACAUGACUCUUUUGAAUUAUGGUUUUCUCAGUAUGGUUUGCCCAGUAGUGGGAUUGCUGAGUUCAUUCUUUUUUAUUGCUGAGUAGUAUUCCAUUGUAUGGAUAUAGCACAGUUUGUCUGUUUCAUUGCUGAUGGACAUUUGGGUUGUUUCCAGUUUGGGGUUUCUAUAAAGAUACUCCAUAAACAUUUUUGUUUAAGUCUUUUUGUUUCUCUUGGGUGAAUACUUAGGAAUGGAAUUGCUGGGUCAUAGGGUAGAAAUGUAUACUUAACUUCAUAAGAAACUGCCAAACAGCUCUCCAAAGAAGUUAAAUCUCCACAUUAUAUUCCCCCAACAAUGUAUGUAGAGACCAGUUAGUCCACGUCCUCACAAAUAUUUGGUGUUUGUCAGUCUUUCCUAUUUCGACCUUCCUAGUGGUUGUGAAAUGGUAUCUGAUUGUGAUAAUGUUUCAUUUUUGUUGAUUUGUAAAAAUACUUUAUAUAAUUAAUUUAAUUUAUAUAUAUAUAUAUAUAUAUAUAUAUAAACUGACAUUUGCUCUUAAAAAAUGUAAAGUUAGAAAUAGAUAUCUGUGGGGAGCUACUGUAACAUGGAGUUUCUGAGUCUCCAAAAUAUUUUUUUAGAGAAUCAGAAUAGAAAAAGUUCACUUUAUUUAGACCUUUUCUAAGGAGAUUGCCACAGUAGUUGGUUCAUUGUUGAACCAUGAAACAAUUCCCUGUAGGCAGGGAAGAAUAACUGCUUUUAGGAGGUAUAACUUACAAAACAGCAAUAACAGCAACCAAAUUCAGUAACUUUCAAAAGUCACAAUACCUGCCAUUUCAUAGAGUUCAAGAUAGAAUCAUGGUUCUCAAUUCAUCUCCUCCCUAGGAAGUUUUGUCACUUUUGGUAGAGUCCCAAAUGGACCCAAAUAGUCUGUGCCACAUAGAAUCAUUCUUUCUCACCAGUAAGACACCUGAAAUGAGAACUGCCCCUAAACUAGCUCUAUAGUUUGCUCUCCAGAAGUUGUCUCACAAUCUGUAGCUAACUCACAUUCUGUGUCCGAUAGUCCACAUAGCUAGAGUUAGGUGUGAACUCCAUUGUUAGGGCACAUGUGGCUUACAUCAUAACUUCAGUGUCAGUAACAAGUAUUGCUGAGCCUGCAGAAAUUUCAGAGAGCUUGGGACAGGGUACCAUCAGCAUCAGCAGCCAUAAUUUAGCUUUUACAUCAUGGAGUCUUUAGAAAACCAGCCUUUUGGUUGACUGGGAGACAUUCAUGAGCUUUCACCAGCCUUUCUUGCUUGUGGAAAAGACAACAUGGGGCAUUUGAUGACCCUGAAGGAAUUUUGUUGAAAAUGAUUUACUGGGUGUGAACCUUUACUAAAGUGGAAAGCUUUCCAGAUAGUCUAGGAAUAUUUAUUAUUAAGCGUAUAUAUCUCCCAUGUGAUAAAACUGUUAGACAUCUGGUCCCUUUUCGUAGAGAUCAGUAUGCUGACAUCUUAGAUCUUAAAAGAGGCUUGCAAAUUUUCCUCACUUUGUAAAAGUUUUUAUCACCACUAUAUACUCCAUCAUUGAAGAUUCUUUAUGACUUUUGCCUAUCUGUAUUCCAGCCAGUCUUUUAUUCACACUGCCAAUGUAAUUUUUCUAAAAUAUGCCAUUAUCCUGUCAGAAAUCCUUCAGACAUUCCCCAUCGUCUUCAGGAUAAAAUCCAGACUUUAACGUGGCUUUCCAGGAGCAUCUUAGCCUGCUGCUUACAGUUUUACCUAAUUUAUUUCCAUGUCCCAAUAAUCAGCAUGAUAAUAGCUAACAUUUAUAUAGUACUUACUUUAUAUACCAAGCACUGGCCCAGGCAGUCAUAAUAAACUGCCUGUAUUCCUCAGGUAGAUCAUGUACUCCCAUGUCAUACCUUUUGCUCACUCUGUACUCUGGAGUACUCUUUAUCAGGCUGUUCUGUAUAAUAAUACCUGCUUGUUCUUUCACACUCCAUUCAGACAUCACUUCUUGGAAGCUGAUCCCAAACUCAUUUUCUGCACCCCACCCCCAAUCCUCACCUCUUAAAAUUGUUCCGAGAUGUCAGGGCAAUGCACAUGUAAUAUCUAGCAUUAAGCAGAACAGAGAGUUUUUCCUCCCUGUGCUACAUCUUCUCUUUAGCGAGCAUGGUUCAGUAGGACUGCCUUGCCCAAGUUUAAGGGCAUAGAGAAUGGAGUUUAUGACUAUUCAUCAUCAACAUCACCUCCUCAAACCCUGUGUUUGAAAACACUUGGGUCCAGAGGCAAAAUUCUUAAGUCUCGUAAUAAGUAAGAUAGUCAUUGCCUUUGAAGAUCCCAAAGUCUAAUGGAAAUAGAUUUAUAAACAGCUAAUUAUAACUAGCUAAAUCAGAGAUUUAAAUAUUGAAAAAAGCCAUAAAAGAAUUAGAAGAAGCAUAGGCAGUUUUUUUCUAUCAUAGUGAAUUUGGGAAGGCCUUCAGAUCUAAACUGAGAAUUAUAAAGGAAAUGAUUGCUUUAUUUAAAAAUUAAGUGUAUUUUACAUGACAAAAAAUGCUAUAAAAUCAAAAAGGAAAUAGAGGAAUAAGAUUGCAGCUUUUAUUAAUAUAUAAUCUCUACCAUAUAUUAAAAUGAACUUGUAAAAUUCAGAAAGCAAGAAGGAUUACUAGCCCACUAGAAAAAUGGAUGAGAAAAUGAAUAGGGAUUUCACAAAGAAUUCAAAGAGAUCAAUAAACAUGAAAAUUGUUCAAGAUUAAUUAUAAUUGAGGAAUUGCAAAUUUAAACUGCAAGUUAAAAUCUUCUGCCUAUCAUGUUAAGGUAAGUUGUGUCAAAAGUUCAUGAAGCCAUCUCAAAGGUGCUCCCACUGGCCUAAGAUGAAAAACGUGAAUGUAAAAAAAGUAAGGACUGGGCUUCCCUGGUGGCGCAGUGGUUGAGAGUCCACCUGCAGAUGCAGGGGACACAGGUUCGUGCCCCGGUUCGGGAAGAUCCCACAUGCCGCGGAGCGGCUGGGCCCGUGAGCCAUGGCCGCUGGGCCUGCGCGUCUGGAGCCUGUGCUCCGCAACGGGAGAGGCCACAACGGUGAGAGGCCCGCGUACCGCCAAAAAAAAAAAUAAAAAAUAAAAAAAAAUAAGGACUGCAGUAGGUUGAACUAUACCAAAUGAGUAAAAUUCCAGGAGUCCAUAAUGAUAUUUUAAAAAUAAAAAGCAAAAAUAACUAUUGAUAACCUUUGGAGAUUUCAAGGGUGUUAACUCAUUCUUAUGAAAAUUUAUGCAUAGAAAGUAGGAUGUAUUUUGUUGCAGAAUGUAUUCAAACUAAACAAACAGUUGAUAGCAGAAAGCUCUUCUUUACUGAAGAAUUUCAGUUAAUAAAUGAGGAAGGAAUGAAGGUAUUAGAAAAGUCACCACUUUGUGCCCAUAGUACAAUAAUAGAUCUAGGCAGAUUAUUGAUGUAUACUAAAAUUAUUAGGUGAAAGGUGAUAGGUAACUAUAUAAUGGUGGGUUCAAGUUAAUACCCAGAAUUCACUGUUCAGUCUUAGCAUCACUGAAAGUAGAACAGGCAGAUAUAUGUCUCUUGAUUUGAUAAAAUAGGAAAGGCAUAGCACUACUUGCGAAGUAUUCUACCCUACAAAAAUUAACAUGAAUCUAAUCAUGAAAAGUAAAAGAGGGCAAUUAGAUCAUGUAAGGUGGAUUAGGCUGUUGUUGUGAGGACUUUGGUUUUUUUGGGUGCAGGUGUGGGAUAUGUCCCUAAUGGCCUCUUUCUCCCAUAAUUUACUUUAAUCCUUUGAAGUAAAGCUCAGCUGCAUUUCGGACAGUCAAACCUGAUUUUAUUUCCUUUAUUUUUUAGAGCAGUUUAAGGUUCACAGCAAAAUUGAGGGGAAGAUAGAACUUUUGGCUUUUACUAUGAGUAAAAUCAGGAGCAUGCUAGGUUUUUGAGCAGGAGACUGACAUGAUGAUCUGGCUUAAUUUUAACAAACUACCUGACUGCUGUGUCGAGAAUCGGCCGGGAGAAGGGGGAGCAGGAGUAUUAGUACAGAUACCACGUUGGAAGAUUUUGCGUUUGUCCAGGUGACAGUUGGGUUGCUUGCACUGGAUACUAGUAGAGCAGGGGUCCCCAAUCCCUGGGCCGUGGGCAGGUACCGGUCUGCAGCCUCUUAGGAACUGGGCCACACAGUGAGAGAUGAGUGAAGCUUCAUCUGCCACUCCCCAUCACUUGCAUUACUGCAUGAACCAUCCCACCCACCCGUCCCGUGGAAAAAUUGUCUUCCACAAAACCGGUCCCUGGUGCCAAAAAGGUUGGGGACUGCUGUAGUACAGUAAGGGAGAAGUGAUUAGGACUGUAAAUAUAUUAAAUUGGCAGAGAUUGGUUAGGAUUAGUAGGGGCAACAUAAUUUCUGAUUAGAUUAAUGUGGGGCAUGAGAGAGAGGAGAAAAGGAGGACUAUAAAGGUUUUGGUUCAAGCAAUUCAAAGUGCAGGGUUGCCUUUAACAAAGGUGGGAGAGACUGUGAGUGGAGCAGGUUUGGAAGAGAAGAUAAAGAAUUCAAUUUUGAGUCUCUUCCACAUAGUAGGUAUGUAUUAUGAAUAUAGUACUGCUGAAUAUUAAGAACCAAGGAUAUGAGACAGCUGCCAUGAGAAGGCCUUUCAUUGUCAGUUUCACAUUGUUCCUUAUCUGUGUGAGUUCUCACUUCAUGAGCCUGACAUUGUUUCUGUAUUUUUUUGUUUUGUUUUUCCAUUUAAGAUUUGUGCAUAUAAUACCUACUUUGUGCCAGGUACUAUUCUCUCUAAUUUCUCAAAUACUAAUUUUUUAAAUCCUCAUAAAAACCUUGUGAGGUAAGUGUAUUGCAUGUUUCAGAGCUGAGGCACUGAGAAAUUAAGGAACUUGCCAAAGGUCACACAGCUCGAAAAGGUAGAGUUAGGACUCAUACCCACACAGCUUGGUUCCAGAGUAAAAAUGAGUUAAAUAAAGUGAACCUAUUAGGCUGCAAGUGCUGAUACAAAAGCUGUAGAAAUUAUAUCUCAAGGUGCUCUUAACCUAGGCAGGUUUUUAUGUGAGGUCUUCUUGAAUGUAAUGGUUAUCUAAGUAGGAAAAGAUCUAUCAAUACUGAAUCUUUAUCCAUACCUCAACAUAAUAAAGGCCAUAUAUGAUAAACCCACAGCUAACAUUGUACUCACCAGUGAAAAGCUGGAAGCAUUUCUUUUAAGAUCAGGAACAAGACAAGGAUGUCCACUCUCACCACUUUUAUUCAACAUGUAUUGGAAGUCCUAGCCACAGCAAUCAGACAAGAAGAAGAAAGAAAAGAAUUCCAAAUUGGAAAGGAAGAAGUAAAACCACCACUGUUUGCAGAUGACAUACUAUACAUAGAAAAUUCUAAAGACACCACCAAAAAACCACUAGAGCUCAUCGAUGAAUUUGGUAAAGUCGCAGGAUACAAGAUUAAUACACAGAAACCUGUUGUAUUUCUAUACACUAACAGUGAACUAUCAAAAAGAGAAAUUAAGGAAACAAUCUCAUUUACCAUUGCAUCAAAAAAAAUAAAAUACCUAGGAAUAAAUCUCUACCUAAAGAGGUUAAAGACCUGUACUUGAAAAACUGUGACACUAAUGAAAGAAAUUGAAGAUGGCACAACAGGUGGAAAGAUACAUCAUGUUAAUGGAUUGGAAGAAUUAAUAUUGCUAAAAUGACCAUAUUACCCAAGGUAAUCUACAGAUUCAGUGCAAUCCCUAUCAAAAUACUAAGGGCAUUUUUCACAGAACUAGAACAGAUAAUUUUAAAAUUUGUAUGGAAACACAAAAGACCCCAAAUAGCCAAAACAAUCUUGAGAAAGAAGAACAGAAGUGGAGGAAUCAUGCUGCCUGACUUCAGAUUAUAAUACAAAGCUACAGUAAUCAAAACAGUAUGGUACUGGCACAAAAACAGACAUACAGAUCUAUGGAGCAGAAUAGAGAGCUUGGAAAUAGACCCACGCACUUAUGGUCAAUUUAUGACAAAGGAGGCAAGAAUAUACAGUGGAAAAAAGACAGUCUCUUCAGUAAGUGGUGCUGGGAAAACUGGACAGUUACAUGUAAAAGAGUGAAGUUAGAACAUUCUCUAUGCCAUGUGUAGACCCAAAAUGGAUUAAAGACCUAAAUGUAAGACUGGAAACCAUAGAACUCCUAGAAGAAAACAUAGGCAGAACAUUCAUUGACAUAAAUCAUAGUUUUUUUUUUUUUGGAUCUCUCUCCCCAUGCAAAGGAAACAAAAGCAAAAAUAAACAAAUGAGACCUAAUUAAACUUAAAAGCUUUUGCACAGCAAAGGAAACCAUGGACAAAACAAAAAGAUAACCUAUUGAAUGGGAGGAAAUAUUUGCAAAUGAUAUAACCCAUAAGGUGUUAAUAUCCAAAAUAUAUAAACAGCUCAUACAACUCAACAUCAAAAAAAAUCCAAUUUAAAAAUGGGCAGAAUACCUGAAUAGACAUUUUUCCAAAGAAGACAUACAGAUGGCCAAAAGACAAUGAAAAGAUGCUCAACAUCGUUAAUCAUUAGAAAAACAUAAAUCAAAGCCACAGUGAGAUAUCACCUCACACCUGUCAGAAUGGCUGUCAUCAGAAAGACCACAAAUAAUAAAUGUUGGUAAGGAUUUGAAAAAAAAGGAACCCUUGUACACUAUUGGUGGGAAUGUAAAUUUGUGUAGCCAGUAUGGAAAAUAUGGAGGUUUCUCAAAAAAAACUAAAAAUAGAACUACCAUGUGACCCAGCAAUUCCACUCCUGAGUAUUUUAUCUGGGAAAAAAAAAAAAAAGAAAAGUCUAAUUCAAAAAGAUACACUCACCCCAGUGUUCAUAGCAGCAUUAUUCACAGUUGCCAAGAUACGGAAGUAACCUAAGUUGUGUCCAUCAGCAAAUGAAUGGAUAAAAAAAAUGGGGGUGUGUGUGUACACACACUCAGUGGAAUACUAAUCAGCCAUAAGGAAUGAGAUUUUGCAAUUUACAACAACAUGGAUGGACUUGGAAGGUAUUAUGCUAAGUGAAAUAAGGCAGAGAAAGACAUACUGUAUGAUGUUACUUAUGUGUAGAAUCUAAUGAAUUUAACAGAAAAGAAACACAGAUAUAAAGAACUAACUAGUAGUUACCGUGGGGAGGGGCAAGAUAGGGGUAGGGGAUUAAGAGGAAUAAACUAUGUAUAAAAUAAAUAGGCUGCAAGGUUGUAUAGUACAACACUAGGAAUGUAGCCAAUAUUUUAUAAUAACUAUAAAUGGAAUAUAACCUUUAAAAAUUGUGAAUCACUAUGUUGUACACCUGAAACUUACAUAAUGUUAUACAUCAACUAUACCUCAGUUUAAAAAGAAAAACAGUGCAUCUUUAUCAUUCUGUUUACAUGUCUGGCAUGUUGCAAGUAUUGGUUUGGGAUUUGUGGACUGAUGUUAUUCUGGGUGCUUCAUAUUUUCUCCUAUUUAAUGUUGUGUCAGUUGCUUGACUGAUAAUGUUGAAAAUCCUUAAGGAGUUGGCUGGCCUCUUUGCAUUCAGUUAUUGAUUUUACUCCUUUUUGUUUUUUGGCUCCACCGCUUUCUUAGUUCCCCAACCAGGGAUUGAACCUGGGCCCCAGCAGUGAAAGCCCCAAGUCCUAACCACUGGACCUCCAGGGAAUUCCUUGGUUUUACUUCUUUUACUCCUUUCAUUGCCCCAAAAGGCAGUGUAGCUUUUUAGUUCAGAUUCCUCUUUAGUAAUCUUGAUGAACUUUCUGUCAGUUUGAAAUGAUACAGUUUUGCAAAGUGUUUUAUAUUAAUUUGUUUUUCCUUGAGGAUAUACUCAAUCUCUACAAGGUGAUGAUGAUGAUGGCUAGCCUUUUUAGGUUAAUAUUCUUGAGGACCACAUAAUAAGUGUAAAACAGUGUAUGAUUUAAUUCAGCUUUUCUUUCUUGGCAUUAGUGAGCCAUCAGUACAGUUUCUGGGGAAAAAAAUGCCAAUCCUUAUUUAUCCAGAUUGAAUAUAACACUUAGUAUUUGUUUCUUGUAUUGAAUGCAGGUGAACCACUGAGCACAGAUGAUUAUUUGAGUGGCUGUCAAUUCUCCCAAAGAUUUCAUAUAAUGGACACCAUUCUAGAUGCGUAGACAAGAAGUAAAUUCAUUAUAUAGAAGGAUGCUUUAGGGUAUUUGGGUUUAUUUCUCUCAGGGAACCUGAUUGAGAACGGCUGAUCUGGGCUGUGGUCUGUUUUUGUAAGGCUCAAGAGCUAAGGAUUUUAAGGGUUAUGUAAAAAAAAAAAAAAAAAAAAAGCAGGAACAGAGACUAUAUAUGGCCUGCAACACCUAAAAUAUUUACUAUAUAGCCUUUUACAGAAAAGGUUUGUCCAGCUCUCCUCUAAGAGGAGAAUACUUAAAUUUGAAUCCCAGCUUCUCCUUUUUGUAUCUGUUUGACCUUAGUAUCUGCCUCUAUAAAUGGGGGAUAGUAAUAAUAC